Long non-coding RNA from Schistocerca gregaria, 719 nucleotides. RefSeq lists it as uncharacterized. The record is from RefSeq and is a predicted model, not a curated record. Lineage: Eukaryota; Metazoa; Arthropoda; Insecta; Orthoptera; Acrididae. The transcript is spliced from 3 exons.
UGCUAAUGGAUUUGUGGAGGCAGCUUGUUGUAAAUAACAGUAUCAUUGCAGUUAUCUUUGAUUAUUGCUUGGGCUUAAGCAUUAUAAUCUUAGUUAAGUGUUUGUCUUUUUCUUGUGUUUUACGUGGUUACUGUCUAAGUUGAUCUAACAAGGAUAACCAAGUUGACAGUUUUUCAGGCUGGGCUAGUUAGCCAUAUUGUAUGCUGAUCCAGUUCCUGGUUCUUCGACUGGCGAACAAAUUGUUUUGGUGUGGCUCACCAGCCAGCCAACUUGAUGACGUGAGAGGAAGUGGGUGCAUUCUGGGCACAGGCUGGUACUAGAACCUCUUUGGAGCUGCUAUUCUGUGCCAAACUGCAGUUGUGGGUCAUCGGUCACUUAAGGUCAUGUGAGGAAAAACGAGAUGGUAAUCAGCAGCACUACAAUACGAAGAACAUAAUGAUAAUUGUCAAAACGAGGUCAACUGAAGUAGUCAAAAAAGGCCUAGAAGAAGAAAAGUACUGGGAUCCCUGCCUCAGAGUUGUGCCAAUCUCUACGGAAGAAGAUGGGUGUGACAAUGAAGAGAUGUUGGUUUUGUAGGGCUGCCAUGAACUGCGACCCUGAUCAUCACAAAUGUAUUUGAAAUACUUGUGUCAAGCAGGCAGAGAGCCAUUUGAAGUUCUUUCUUGAGUGUAAAAAAAUUGUUAUAAGUGAUUUACAAAAUAGAAAAUUCUGUCUAUUAA